Molecule: ribosomal RNA, 1313 nt
Filed under: Campylobacter jejuni
Lineage: Bacteria; Pseudomonadati; Campylobacterota; Epsilonproteobacteria; Campylobacterales; Campylobacteraceae
Description: bacterial LSU rRNA
Rfam family: Bacterial large subunit ribosomal RNA
Source: RNAcentral
AAGUUUAGCUAAUGUUGCCCGUACCGUAAACCGACACAGGUGGGUGGGAUGAGUAUUCUAAGGCGCGUGGAAGAACUCUCUUUAAGGAACUCUGCAAAAUAGCACCGUAUCUUCGGUAUAAGGUGUGGUUAGCUUUGUAUUAGGAUUUACUCCGAAAGCAAGGAAACUUACAACAAAGAGUCCCUCCCGACUGUUUACCAAAAACACAGCACUCUGCUAACUCGUAAGAGGAUGUAUAGGGUGUGACGCCUGCCCGGUGCUCGAAGGUUAAUUGAUGGGGUUAGCAUUAGCGAAGCUCUUGAUCGAAGCCCGAGUAAACGGCGGCCGUAACUAUAACGGUCCUAAGGUAGCGAAAUUCCUUGUCGGUUAAAUACCGACCUGCAUGAAUGGCGUAACGAGAUGGGAGCUGUCUCAAAGAGGGAUCCAGUGAAAUUGUAGUGGAGGUGAAAAUUCCUCCUACCCGCGGCAAGACGGAAAGACCCCGUGGACCUUUACUACAGCUUGACACUGCUACUUGGAUAAGAAUGUGCAGGAUAGGUGGGAGGCUUUGAGUAUAUGACGCCAGUUGUAUAUGAGCCAUUGUUGAGAUACCACUCUUUCUUAUUUGGGUAGCUAACCAGCUUGAGUUAUCCUCAAGUGGGACAAUGUCUGGUGGGUAGUUUGACUGGGGCGGUCGCCUCCCAAAUAAUAACGGAGGCUUACAAAGGUUGGCUCAGAACGGUUGGAAAUCGUUCGUAGAGUAUAAAGGUAUAAGCCAGCUUAACUGCAAGACAUACAAGUCAAGCAGAGACGAAAGUCGGUCUUAGUGAUCCGGUGGUUCUGUGUGGAAGGGCCAUCGCUCAAAGGAUAAAAGGUACCCCGGGGAUAACAGGCUGAUCUCCCCCAAGAGCUCACAUCGACGGGGAGGUUUGGCACCUCGAUGUCGGCUCAUCGCAUCCUGGGGCUGGAGCAGGUCCCAAGGGUAUGGCUGUUCGCCAUUUAAAGCGGUACGCGAGCUGGGUUCAGAACGUCGUGAGACAGUUCGGUCCCUAUCUGCCGUGGGCGUAAGAAGAUUGAAGAGAUUUGACCCUAGUACGAGAGGACCGGGUUGAACAAACCACUGGUGUAGCUGUUGUUCUGCCAAGAGCAUCGCAGCGUAGCUAAGUUUGGAAAGGAUAAACGCUGAAAGCAUCUAAGCGUGAAGCCAACUCUAAGAUGAAUCUUCUCUAAGCUCUCUAGAAGACUACUAGUUUGAUAGGCUGGGUGUGUAAUGGAUGAAAGUCCUUUAGCUGACCAGUACUAAUAGAGCGUUUGGCUUAUCUUUAAUAAAGCAU